This 433-nucleotide ribosomal RNA is filed under the name uncultured bacterium. RNAcentral's name for it is "partial 16S ribosomal RNA". It matches the Rfam family "Bacterial small subunit ribosomal RNA", at positions 29 to 507 of the family's 1533-position model. The record is from RNAcentral.
AACGAACGCUGGCGGCAUGCCUAACACAUGCAAGUCGAACGAGACCUUCGGGUCUAGUGGCGCACGGGUGCGUAACGCGUGGGAACCUGCCCUUAGGUUCGGAAUAACUCCCCGAAAGGGGUGCUAAUACCGGAUAAUGUCUUCGGACCAAAGAUUUAUCGCCUUUGGAUGGGCCCGCGUUGGAUUAGCUAGUUGGUAGGGUAAAAGCCUACCAAGGCGACGAUCCAUAGCUGGUCUGAGAGGAUGAUCAGCCACACUGGGACUGAGACACGGCCCAGACUCCUACGGGAAGCAGCAGUGGGGAAUAUUGGACAAUGGGCAAAAGCCUGAUCCAGCAAUGCCGCGUGAGUGAUGAAGGCCUUAGGGUUGUAAAGCUCUUUUACCCGGGAUGAUAAUGACAGUACCGGGAGAAUAAGCUCCGGCUAACUCCGUG